AGCAUAAUUUCGUAGUUCGUGGCGGGUAUCUGUACGUGAACCUGCAGAUGGAUCAUCGUCGAAACCAAACACAUGGUUCCUUUGA
Molecule: ribosomal RNA, 85 nt
Filed under: Marshallagia occidentalis
Lineage: Eukaryota; Metazoa; Nematoda; Chromadorea; Rhabditida; Trichostrongylidae
Description: partial 18S ribosomal RNA
Source: RNAcentral